Molecule: transfer RNA, 72 nt
Filed under: Ovis aries (sheep)
Lineage: Eukaryota; Metazoa; Chordata; Mammalia; Artiodactyla; Bovidae
Rfam family: tRNA
About the family: Transfer RNA (tRNA) molecules are approximately 80 nucleotides in length. Their secondary structure includes four short double-helical elements and three loops (D, anti-codon, and T loops).
Source: Rfam by way of RNAcentral
UCCUUGGUGGCUCAGAGGGUAAAGCAUCUGCCGGCAAUGCAGGAGACCUGGGUUCGAUCCCUGGAUCAGGAA